This 487-nucleotide ribosomal RNA is filed under the name uncultured bacterium. RNAcentral describes it as "partial 16S ribosomal RNA". It matches the Rfam family "Bacterial small subunit ribosomal RNA", at positions 28 to 523 of the family's 1533-position model. The record is from RNAcentral.
GAUGAACGCUGGCGGCGUGCUUAACACAUGCAAGUCGAACGGGAUCCAUCAGGCUUUGCUUGGUGGUGAGAGUGGCGAACGGGUGAGUAAUGCGUGACCGACCUGCCCCAUACACCGGAAUAGCUCCUGGAAACGGGGGGUAAUGCCGGAUGCUCCGACUCCUCGCAUGGGGUGUCGGGGAAGAUUUCAUCGGUAUGGGAUGGGGUCGCGUACUAUCAGGUAGUCGGCGGGGUAACGGCCCACCGAGCCUACGACGGGUAGCCGGCCUGAGAGGGCGACCGGCCACAUUGGGACUGAGAUACGGCCCAGACUCCUACGGGAGGCAGCAGUGGGGAAUAUUGCACAAUGGACGCAAGCCUGAUGCAGCGACGCCGCGUGCGGGAUGACGGCCUUCGGGUUGUAAACCGCUUUUGAUCGGGAGCAAGCCUUCGGGUGAGUGUACCUUUCGAAUAAGCACCGGUUAACUACGUGCCAGCCGCCGCAGUAA